This 1099-nucleotide ribosomal RNA is filed under the name uncultured organism. RNAcentral's name for it is "bacterial SSU rRNA". It matches the Rfam family "Bacterial small subunit ribosomal RNA", at positions 242 to 1340 of the family's 1533-position model. The record is from RNAcentral.
UAGCUAUUAUGUAGGGUAACGGCCUACAUAGGCUAUGAUAGGUAGGGGUUCUGAGAGGGAAGCCCCCCACACUGGUACUGAGACACGGACCAGACUCCUACGGGAGGCAGCAGUGAGGAAUAUUGGACAAGUGGGAGCAAUCCUGAUCCAGCCAUGCCGCGUGCAGGAAGACGGUCCUAUGGAUUGUAAACUGCUUUUAUACAGGAAGAAAAAGACCGACGUGUCGGUUGCUGACGGUACUGUAUGAAUAAGGAUCGGCUAACUCCGUGCCAGCAGCCGCGGUAAUACGGAGGAUCCGAGCGUUAUCCGGAAUUAUUGGGUUUAAAGGGUCCGUAGGCGGGAUAAUAAGUCAGUGGUGAAAGUUUGUGGCUCAACCAUAAAAUUGCCAUUGAUACUGUUAUUCUUGAGUUAUUGUGAAGUGGUUAGAAUGUGUAGUGUAGCGGUGAAAUGCAUAGAUAUUACACAGAAUACCAAUUGCGAAGGCAGAUCACUAACAAUGAACUGACGCUGAUGGACGAAAGCGUAGGUAGCGAACAGGAUUAGAUACCCUGGUAGUCUACGCAGUAAACGAUGGUUACUAGCUGUUCGGUCUAAUUGAGGGCUGAGUGGUUAAGCGAAAGUGAUAAGUAACCCACCUGGGGAGUACGUUCGCAAGAAUGAAACUCAAAGGAAUUGACGGGGGCCCGCACAAGCGGUGGAGCAUGUGGUUUAAUUCGAUGAUACGCGAGGAACCUUACCAGGGCUUAAAUGCAGUUUGACAGGUCUAGAAAUAGAUUUUUCUUCGGACAAAUUGCAAGGUGCUGCAUGGUCGUCGUCAGCUCGUGCCGUGAGGUGUCAGGUUAAGUCCUAUAACGAGCGCAACCCCUAUGGUUAGUUGCUAGCAGGUCAUGCUGAGAACUCUAGCCAGACUGCCGGUGUAAACCGCGAGGAAGGUGGGGAUGACGUCAAAUCAUCACGGCCCUUACGUCCUGGGCUACACACGUGCUACAAUGGUAUGUACAAUGAGCAGCCACUACGCGAGUAGGCGCAAAUCUCAAAAGCAUAUCACAGUUCGGAUCGGAGUCUGCAACUCGACUCCGUGAAGCUGGAAUCGCUAGUA